RNAcentral lists this ribosomal RNA (429 nucleotides) under Gemmatimonadota bacterium. Its description in RNAcentral is "Gemmatimonadetes bacterium partial 16S ribosomal RNA". It matches the Rfam family "Bacterial small subunit ribosomal RNA", at positions 355 to 776 of the family's 1533-position model. The record is from RNAcentral. Lineage: Bacteria; Pseudomonadati; Gemmatimonadota.
UAGGGAAUCUUCGGCAAUGGACGAAAGUCUGACCGAGCAACGCCGCGUGAGUGAAGAAGGUUUUCGGAUCGUAAAACUCUGUUGUUAGAGAAGAACAAGGACGUUAGUAACUGAACGUCCCCUGACGGUAUCUAACCAGAAAGCCACGGCUAACUACGUGCCAGCAGCCGCGGUAAUACGAAGGUGGCAAUCGUUGUCCGGAUUUAUUGGGCGUAAAGCGAGCGCAGGCGGUUUCUUAAGUCUGAUGUGAAAGCCCCCGGCUCAACCGGGGCGGGUCAUUGGAAACUGGGAGACUUGAGUGCAGAAGAGGAGAGUGGAAUUCCAUUUGUAGCGGUGAAAUGCGUAGAUAUAUGGAGGAACACCAGUGGAGAAGGCGGCUCUCUGGUCUGUAACUGACGCUGAGGCUCGAAAGCGUGGGGAGCAAACAGG